GCCGGGCGCGGUGGCGUACGCCUGUAAUCCAAGCUACUGGGAGGCUGAGGCUGGCGGACCGUUUGAGCUCAGGGGUUCUGGGCUGUAGCGGGCUAUGCCGAUCGGGUGUCCGCACUAAGUUCGGUAUCGAUAUGGUGCUCCUGAGGGAGCUUGGGACCACCAGGUCAUCUAAGGAGGGGUGAACCGGCCCAGGUCGGAAACGGAGCAGGUCAAAGCCCCCGUGCCGAUCAGUAGUGGGAUCGCGCCUGUGAAUAGACGCUGCAGUGCAGCCUGUGUAAUACAACGGGACCCAGUCUUUU
Electrophorus electricus (electric eel) is the source of this 299-nucleotide unclassified non-coding RNA. It matches the Rfam family "Metazoan signal recognition particle RNA". Rfam says of the family: The signal recognition particle (SRP) is a universally conserved ribonucleoprotein. It is involved in the co-translational targeting of proteins to membranes. NCBI's taxonomy places the organism in Eukaryota, Metazoa, Chordata, Actinopteri, Gymnotiformes, Gymnotidae. The record is from Ensembl.